AAAAGAUAAUAAAAAGAGCGGAGAGGGAAGGUGGGGGAGAUUAAAUUUUAUUUGGGAAGAGAAAUAUAAAGACCUGUGAAACCCUAGUUUUGGCGAACAUCGGAUUCAAAAUCGAAUUCUUCCAUCUUGAGUUCAGAAGUUUGCAAUUUCUAUAGCUUGGAACAUGGAUGAUGAUCAGGAGAUGGAGAAGUUUGGAAUGGAUAAUGAUUUUGAGGGGGGGCAGUAUGUAGGUGCUGAAUUUUAUUAUGCUAGGCGUAAGGACAAGAGAACCCAGACGAAAGAUGAUGUGCUCUAUGGCGUCUUUGCGUCUGACGAUAGUGAUUCAGAUGAUUACUCUUCCAAGAAGAAGAAGAAGCGGAAAAAUGACCUGUCUAGAAAAGCUGACCUCACUAAGCCUGUUAGUUUUGUGUCCACUGGCGUUGUCAUGCCUAAUCAGGAAAUUGAUAAAAAUUCCGAGGAGGAAGAUAAAGAUCAGUAUGAUGAUACCCCUUCUGGUUUAGGGCUAGGUGCGUCUCGAUUUGGUUCAUCUGGCCUUGGUUUUAGUUCCGACGGAAAAGGAAAGCCAGCUGAAGAAGUGCAAGUUGAAACGGAAGAUGAUUAUUUGCCGACAUCUUUCGGAGAGAAGAUUAAGAAAGGUGCACUAUUGCGCCGGCAAGAGAAGGAAAAGGAGAAGUCAAAAAUUAAUCUCAAGUCGUCCCAAGGGGCAAGGAAGGAAUCAAGUAACCAUGGCAAUAUUGGUGGAUUCGAACAACACACCAAAGGGAUAGGAAUGAAGUUGCUUGAAAAGAUGGGUUACAAAGGAGGCGGGCUUGGAAAAAAUGAACAAGGUAUUGUGGCACCUGUUGAGGCAAAGUUGCGGCCUCAGAAAAUGGGAAUGGGUUAUAAUGAAUACAAGGAAGCUACUCUGCCUACAUUGAAGGAACUGGAAGAAAAAAAGUCUAUCCCCAAUGCAGUGCAGUCCUCAGAAAAUCGAUCGAAAGAGAAACUCUGGUCUAAGCAAGCACGAUCUAAGAAGAAGAAGAUGAAUUAUGUUACUGCUGAAGAAUUGCUGGCGAAGAAAGAAGAGCAGGGACUGGAAGUUGUUCAAAAGGUGUUUGAUAUGAGGGGACCGCAGGUUCGAAUCUUGACAAACUUGGAGAACUUGAAUGCUGAAGAGAAGGCUAGGGAAAAUGAUAUCCCAAUGCCUGAACUUCAGCAUAAUGUCAGAUUAAUUGUCGAUUUAGCUGAGCUUGAUAUACAGAAGUUAGAUCGAGAUUUGAGAAAUGAGAGGGAAACAGUGGUCAGUUUGCAGCAGGAGAAGGAAAGGCUUAACAAAGAGGUAGUGAACCAGAAGCAGCAGCUUGAUAAUAUGGAGGAGAUAGUUUCUGUCUUGGACACUAUAGGCAAUGAAAACUUGUCAGGAACAUUGACAUUGACCUCUCUUGCAAACUCAUUUGGGAACUUGCAAAAGCAAUAUGCUGAUGAUUACAAAUUGUGCAACUUGUCGUGCAUUGCCUGUUCGUUUGCUAUGCCUUUGUUCAUAAGGGUGUUUCAGGGAUGGGACCCACUCCAGAAUCCCGCACAUGGGUUGGAAGUUAUAUCCUUGUGGAAAAACCUAUUGCAAGGUGAUCUCACUGAUCCUGGUUCACCUUAUACACAGCUAAUAAUGGAAGUUGUUUUCCCAGCUGUUAGGAUAUCGGGCACUAAUACUUGGCAAGCAAGGGAACCAGAGCCGAUGCUUCGAUUUUUGGAGUCAUGGGAGGAGCUGCUGCCUAUUCCUGUUAGGCAGACCAUAUUAGACAAUGUAGUCAUGCCCAAGUUGUCAGCUGCUAUUGAUUCGUGGGAUCCCCGCAGGGAAACAAUACCGAUUCAUCUUUGGGUGCAUCCAUGGUUACCAUGGUUACGUCAGAAGUUGGAGAUUUUCUACCACACAAUUCGCAUCCGUUUGGAAAGUGUGCUUCAUGCUUGGCAGCCUGAUGAUAUUUCUGCAUUCUGUAUAUUGUCCCCUUGGAAGACUGUAUUUGAUUCAGCCAGCUGGGAGCAACUAAUGGUCCGAUAUAUUAUCCCAAAGUUGUUGACCGUCAUGCAUGAAUUUCAAGUAAAUCCAGCUAACCAAAAUCUUGAUAAGUUCUACCUGGUUAGGACUUGGGCUACUGCUAUUCCAAUUUCACACAUGCUUCAUUUAAUGGAUGUGUUUUUCAAUAAGUGGCAAGAAGUUCUGUACCACUGGUUAUGCUCACGCCCGAACUUUGAAGAAGUUACCAGCUGGUAUGUUGGUUGGAAGGAGCUUAUUCCUCCUGAACUUCUGGCAAAUGAACAUAUCCGAUACCGCCUUAAUGUGGGUCUGGAGAUGAUGAACAGAGCUUUUGAGGGUAUAGAGGUGGUACAACCUGGUAUGAGGGAGAACAUUAAUUAUCGCAGGCCGCCAGAGCAAAGACCGUUUGGGGCUCCGCAAACAGCAGCCUAUAAUGCUCAACAAGCUUCUGCCACCCCAGUUAGUGCAACACAGAUGGGGGGUAUAGGCGGUGGGAAUGAGAUGAGUUUGAAAGAUGUUAUUGAGUUUUAUGCGCAGCAGAAUGGAUUAUUGUUUAAGCCUAAACCUGGCAGAACUCAAGAUGGUCAUCAGAUAUAUGGCUUUGGUAAUGUUAGCAUUAUAAUUGAUUCUCUUAACCAGAAGGUGUUUGCACAAACUGAAGAGAAGUGGUCCUUGGUGUCACUUGACCAGCUUCCUGAGCUGCACAAUCGUUCUAUUUCAAGGCGACGUUAAAUUUCCAACUCAAAUGGUGUUUCUGAUUAUGAUUAUCAAUGAUUCACUGUUACACAGACUAUAAGCUGCAGAAGAUUAUAAUAUUUAUAAGAUUGAUGAUGCUAUCAUUUGAGGCCAAUGUGUUAAAGCGGCCUAUUUAUGGACAAUAAAGGCGAGGUUGCGUAUGUUGGAACCUGCCUAAAUCCUUCUGAUGUGGGAGUUGUGAACUACUAUUAUCCAUCCCCACCAUUGUGUUGGACUACCUGCAGAAUUUCCGCUUAUGAAAGAACAUUUUAUUGACAAUUUGGCGAAAUAUCACUAUCAGUAUAUGGUCCAACCAGUCCAAAUCCAGUAUGGGGAAAGAAAAGCCUGAUUGCUAGUUACUCAGGUGCAAGAUCCGCUGGAGAGUGGAGAUGUGUUCUCAACCCCGGGGUUGAGAGGGGAAUGAGCGACUAGAAACUUGUUUGAAUUUAAUGCUGGCAAUAGUUGUGUUCUUUGAGAUAUGCAGUUUGAAUUCUUUUUGGCACUAUGUUGUUUUAUAUAUAAGUUCUCAUUCGUAUAGAAAGUUGAUGUUUUUCUUUA
Molecule: RNA transcript, 3307 nt
Organism: Daucus carota subsp. sativus
Lineage: Eukaryota; Viridiplantae; Streptophyta; Magnoliopsida; Apiales; Apiaceae
Gene name: septin and tuftelin-interacting protein 1 homolog 1
Exons: 6
Source: RefSeq, a predicted model, not a curated record